CCUACGGGAGGCAGCAGUGGGGAAUUUUGGACAAUGGGCGCAAGCCUGAUCCAGCAAUGCCGCGUGAGUGAAGAAGGCCUUCGGGUUGUAAAGCUCUUUUGUCAGGGAAGAAACGGUGGGGGCUAAUAUCUCCUGCUAAUGACGGUACCUGAAGAAUAAGCACCGGCUAACUACGUGCCAGCAGCCGCGGUAAUACGUAGGGUGCAAGCGUUAAUCGGAAUUACUGGGCGUAAAGCGUGCGCAGGCGGUUUUGUAAGUUUGUCGUGAAAUCCCCGGGCUCAACCUGGGAAUGGCGAUGAAGACUGCAAGGCUAGAAUCUGGCAGAGGGGGGUAGAAUUCCACGUGUAGCAGUGAAAUGCGUAGAGAUGUGGAGGAACACCGAUGGCGAAGGCAGCCCCCUGGGUCAAGAUUGACGCUCAUGCACGAAAGCGUGGGGAGCAAACAGGAUUAGAUACCCUGGUAGUCCACGCCCUAAACGAUGUCUACUAGUUGUCGGGUUUUAAUUAACUUGGUAACGCAGCUAACGCGUGAAGUAGACCGCCUGGGGAGUACGGUCGCAAAGAUUAAAACUUCAAAAGGAAUUGACGGGCUUGAGACGNGCCGACGGACGACGACGAGGGGAGGAGG
RNAcentral lists this ribosomal RNA (627 nucleotides) under uncultured bacterium. RNAcentral's name for it is "bacterial SSU rRNA". It matches the Rfam family "Bacterial small subunit ribosomal RNA", at positions 338 to 959 of the family's 1533-position model. The record is from RNAcentral.